Molecule: unclassified non-coding RNA, 161 nt
Filed under: uncultured Ascomycota
Lineage: Eukaryota; Fungi; Ascomycota
Description: sequence contains ITS1
Source: RNAcentral
AUGAGAACGUGCCCUCCGGGGCAGAUCUCCCACCCUUUGUUUACAUUACCUUUGUUGCUUUGGCAGGCCCGCCCUCGGGCCGCCGGCUCCGGCCGGCCAGCGCCUGCCAGAGGACCCCAAACUCUUAUUAUCAACGUCGUCUGAGUACUAUAUAAUAGUUA